Molecule: ribosomal RNA, 279 nt
Filed under: uncultured bacterium
Lineage: Bacteria
Description: partial 16S ribosomal RNA
Rfam family: Bacterial small subunit ribosomal RNA
Source: RNAcentral
UGCCAGCCGCCGCGGUAAUACGAAGGGACCUAGCGUAGUUCGGAAUUACUGGGCUUAAAGAGUGCGUAGGUGGUUUAUUAAGUCAGAUGUGAAAGCCCCGGGCUUAACCUGGGAACUGCAUUUGAAACUGGUAAACUAGAGUAUGGUAGAGGAAAGUGGAAUUUCUGGUGUAGCGGUGAAAUGCGUAGAUAUCAGAAGGAACAUCAAUGGCGAAGGCAGCUUUCUGGACCAAUACUGACACUGAGGUACGAAAGCGUGGGUAGCAAACAGGAUUAGAUA